This 276-nucleotide unclassified non-coding RNA is filed under the name Athalia rosae (coleseed sawfly). Its description in RNAcentral is "misc RNA ENSAEAG00005010248.1". Lineage: Eukaryota; Metazoa; Arthropoda; Insecta; Hymenoptera; Athaliidae. The record is from RNAcentral.
UUUAAAAAGUGCUUGACAAUCGGUAGCUACUGAAAGAUUUAUAUCAUUGGAAAUUUCGUGUUUUCCGUAACUCGGAAAUUUUUCCAUAAGCACUGGUCUUCCGUCUUGGAUUCGACGGCAGUUCGGCUUCGGCGACAGGAGCGGCGACAUCAGGAGCGACAUCAAAAUAAACAAGGCAGGUUCCUCAGAGCGACGAUGGAGAGAGAGAGAACGAUGCCCAUUGCGCGAUGCAAGCGAAUCAAGACAUCAACGAGUCUCUCCAAAGAUCCACUCCUC